Molecule: ribosomal RNA, 513 nt
Filed under: uncultured bacterium
Lineage: Bacteria
Description: partial 16S ribosomal RNA
Rfam family: Bacterial small subunit ribosomal RNA
Source: RNAcentral
UGGGGAAUAUUGCACAAUGGGCGCAAGCCUGAUGCAGCCAUGCCGCGUGUGUGAAGAAGGCCUUCGGGUUGUAAAGCACUUUCAGCGAGGAGGAAGGUGGUGAGCUUAAUACGCUCAUCAAUUGACGUUACUCGCAGAAGAAGCACCGGCUAACUCCGUGCCAGCAGCCGCGGUAAUACGGAGGGUGCAAGCGUUAAUCGGAAUUACUGGGCGUAAAGCGCACGCAGGCGGUUUGUUAAGUCAGAUGUGAAAUCCCCGGGCUCAACCUGGGAACUGCAUUUGAAACUGGCAAGCUAGAGUCUCGUAGAGGGGGGUAGAAUUCCAGGUGUAGCGGUGAAAUGCGUAGAGAUCUGGAGGAAUACCGGUGGCGAAGGCGGCCCCCUGGANGAAGACUGACGCUCAGGUGCGAAAGCGUGGGGCAGCAAACAGGAUUAGAUACCCUGGUAGUCCAGCGCUGUAAACGAUGUCGACUUUGGAGGUUGUGCCCUUGAGGCGUGGCUUCCGGAGCUAACG